Oncorhynchus keta (chum salmon) is the source of this 2368-nucleotide long non-coding RNA. RefSeq lists it as uncharacterized. NCBI's taxonomy places the organism in Eukaryota, Metazoa, Chordata, Actinopteri, Salmoniformes, Salmonidae. The transcript is spliced from 3 exons. The record is from RefSeq and is a predicted model, not a curated record.
CAGACAGACAUAUGGGGAAGAGAUGGGGGAUAUUGGGGUGAGAGAUGGGAGAGUUACAGGAGAGAGAUGGGUGAAAGAUGGGGGAGAUAAGGGUGACAAAUGGGUGAGAGACGAGGGAGAGAUGAGGAGAUAUGGGGGAGAGAUGGAGGAGAUACGGGUGAUAGAUGAGAGGGAUACGGGUGAGAGAUUGGGUAGAUAUGGGGGAGAUACGGGUGAGAGAUGGGGGAGAGAUAUGGGGGAGAUACAGGUGAGAGAUUGAGGAGAGAUGGAGGAGAGAUGGGGGAGAUACAGGUGACAAAUGGGUGAGAUGGGGGGGAUAUGGGGAGAUACGGGUGACAAAUGGGUGAGAGACAGGAGAGAUGGGGAAGAUACAGGUGACAAAUGGGAGAGAUGGGGGAGAGAUGAAGGUGAUACGGGUGAGAGAUGGGGGAGAUAUGGGAGAGAUGCGGGUGAGAGAUGGGGGAGAGAUGGGGGAGAUAUGAGUGAGAGAUGGGGGAGAUACGAGUGAGAGACGGGGGAGAUACGGGGGAGAGAUGGGGAGAUAUGGAGGAGAGAUGGAGGAGAUACGGGGGAGAGAUGGGGAGAUAUGGAGGAGAGAUGGAGGAGAUACGGGUGAGAGAUGGGGCAGAUAUGGAGGAGAGAUGGAGGAGAUACGGGUGAGAGAUGGGGCAGAUAUGGAGGAGAGAUGGAGGAGAUACGGGUGAGAGAUGGGGCAGAUAUGGGGGAGAUACGGGUGAGAGAUGGGGGAGAGAUAUGGGGGAGAUACGGGUGAGAGAUGGAGGAGAGAUGGGGGAGAUAUGGGUGAGAUGGGGGAGAUAUGGGGGAAAUACAGGUGACAAAUCGGUGAGAGACGGGAGAGAUGGGGAAGAUACAGGUUACAAAUGGGUGAGAUGGGGGAGAGAUGGGGAAGAUACAGGUUACAAAUGGGUGAGAUGGGGGAGAGAUGGGGAAGAUACAGGUGACAAAUCGGUGAGAGACAGGAGAGAUGGGGGAGAUACAGGUAACAAAUGGGUGAUAUGGGGGAGAUACAGGUGACAAAUGGGUGAGAUGGGGGAGAUACAGGUGACAAAUGGGUGAGAUGGGGGAGAUACAGGUUACAAAUGGGUGAGAUGGGGGAGAGAUGGGGAAGAUACAGGUGACAAAUCGGUGAGAGACAGGAGAGAUGGGGAAGAUACAGGUUACAAAUGGGUGAGAUGGGGGAGAGAUGGGGAAGAUACAGGUUACAAAUGGGUGAGAUGGGGGAGAGAUGGGGAAGAUACAGGUGACAAAUCGGUGAGAGACAGGAGAGAUGGGGAAGAUACAGGUAACAAAUGGGUGAGAUGGGGGAGAUACAGGUAACAAAUGGGUGAGAUGGGGGAGAUACAGGUGACAAAUGGGUGAGAUGGGGGAGAUACAGGUGACAAAUGGGUGAGAUGGGGGAGAGAUGGGGAAGAUACAGGUUACAAAUGGGUGAGAUGGGGGAGAGAUGGGGAAGAUACAGGUUACAAAUGGGUGAGAUGGGGGAGAGAUGGGGAAGAUACAGGUGACAAAUCGGUGAGAGACAGGAGAGAUGGGGGAGAUACAGGUAACAAAUGGGUGAUAUGGGGGAGAUACAGGUGACAAAUGGGUGAGAUGGGGGAGAUACAGGUGACAAAUGGGUGAGAUGGGGGAGAUACAGGUUACAAAUGGGUGAGAUGGGGGAGAGAUGGGGAAGAUACAGGUGACAAAUCGGUGAGAGACAGGAGAGAUGGGGAAGAUACAGGUUACAAAUGGGUGAGAUGGGGGAGAGAUGGGGAAGAUACAGGUUACAAAUGGGUGAGAUGGGGGAGAGAUGGGGAAGAUACAGGUGACAAAUCGGUGAGAGACAGGAGAGAUGGGGAAGAUACAGGUAACAAAUGGGUGAGAUGGGGGAGAUACAGGUGACAAAUGGGUGAGAUGGGGGAGAUACAGGUGACAAAUGGGUGAGAUGGGGGAGAGAUGGGGAAGAUACAGGUUACAAAUGGGUGAGAUGGGGGAGAGAUGGGGAAGAUACAGGUUACAAAUGGGUGAGAUGGGGGAGAGAUGGGGAAGAUACAGGUUACAAAUGGGUGAGAUGGGGAAGAUACAGCUUACAAAUGGGUGAGAUGGGGGAGAGAUGGGGAAGAUACAGGUGACAAAUCGGUGAGAGACAGGAGAGAUGGGGAAGAUACAGGUGACAAAUGGGUGAGAUGGGGGAGAUACAGGUGACAAAUGGGUGAGAUGGGGGAGAGAUGGGGGAGAUACAGGUGACAAAUGGGUGAGAUGGGGGAGAUAUGGUGGAGAUAUGGGGGAGAUACGGGUGAGAGACGGGGGAGAGAUGGGUGAGAUAUGAGUGAGAGAUGGGGGAGAUACGAGUGAGAGACGGGGGAGA